UGUAUUCUAUCUCCCUAAACUUAUCACUAAGCUGAAUUCUGAUGUAACGACAGUAUAGUUCCAUUUGGCAGUUGACACAGCUUCACUUCACUUGUGAAGUUGUUUUUAGGGCUUUAGCUCCAUAAACAACUCUGUCGACAACAGAGCUGGAGUUGAACCUGCUUUUAGUAAAGUGUUUAAUAAAGUAGCUCCUCAGGUUGGGCAAAACACCUCCUAAACCCUAAACCGACUAUAUAAUACAUUUUUGUUUUCUUUUUUCUCUAUUCUUUCUCAUUCCCUCUCCCCACGACCUCUCUUUCCUCCUUCCUCACGCAUCUCACCAACACGAGCGUGCCCACCGAAGCCCACAUGCCCCGAGCGUCGCACCUCGAUCGGUGGCUAUAUAUGCCCGGGCCUCAUGCUCCGAUUGUAGCAUGUUUAUAUCACCUUUGUUAUAUUUUCUUGUCGACACGGUAGAACAUUACGCGUAGUGUAACCAUCUAUAUGAUGCCAAAUACACAUGGUAAACAUGCGCGACACAGGUGACAGCUCUUGCAAUAGUAGCAAGCUAUAAGCUAAAUCACUUGGGGCUCCUCCGGCCACACAUAUAUACUACUAGGUACCACGUGUCGACAGUGAUGCCGGUUGACCUUCCACUACAAUAACAUGAGGAACGGAUGUCCAAUAAUCCUUCACUCACAGUCACAGG
Molecule: long non-coding RNA, 688 nt
Filed under: Sorghum bicolor (sorghum)
Lineage: Eukaryota; Viridiplantae; Streptophyta; Magnoliopsida; Poales; Poaceae
Description: long non-coding RNA (SBIC_LNC000273)
Source: RNAcentral